RNAcentral lists this ribosomal RNA (164 nucleotides) under uncultured bacterium. Its description in RNAcentral is "partial 16S rRNA". It matches the Rfam family "Bacterial small subunit ribosomal RNA", at positions 355 to 511 of the family's 1533-position model. The record is from RNAcentral.
UAGGGAAUCUUCCACAAUGGACGCAAGUCCGAUGGAGCAACGCCGCGUGGGUGAAGAAGGGUUUCGGCUCGUAAAGCUCUGUUGUUAAAGAAGAACGUGGGUAAGAGUAACUGUUUACCCAGUGACGGUAUUUAACCAGAAAGCCACGGCUAACUACGUGCCAG